UGGACGAGUCCGGAAUCGAACCGGAGACCUCUCCCAUGCUAAGGGAGCGCGCUACCGACUACGCCACACGCCC
This 73-nucleotide transfer RNA is filed under the name Saccharomyces cerevisiae (brewer's yeast). RNAcentral's name for it is "tRNA-Ala". Lineage: Eukaryota; Fungi; Ascomycota; Saccharomycetes; Saccharomycetales; Saccharomycetaceae. The record is from RNAcentral.